This 77-nucleotide transfer RNA is filed under the name Photorhabdus heterorhabditis. RNAcentral's name for it is "tRNA-Lys". The record is from RNAcentral. Lineage: Bacteria; Pseudomonadati; Pseudomonadota; Gammaproteobacteria; Enterobacterales; Morganellaceae.
GUCAUUAGCGCAGUCGGCAGAGCCGUUGACUUUUAAUCAAUGGGUUGCAGGUUCGAGCCGAGCGAAGCGAGACAACA